Molecule: microRNA, 21 nt
Filed under: Schistosoma japonicum
Lineage: Eukaryota; Metazoa; Platyhelminthes; Trematoda; Strigeidida; Schistosomatidae
Description: miRNA-3038
Source: RNAcentral
CAAAGGACGAGUGUACCGUGU